AAUAGAUACCCCGGUAGUCCACGCCGUAAACGAUGUCGACUUGGAGGUUGUUCCCUUGAGGAGUGGCUUCCGGAGCUAACGCGUUAAGUCGACCGCCUGGGGAGUACGGCCGCAAGGUUAAAACUCAAAUGAAUUGACGGGGGCCCGCACAAGCGGUGGAGCAUGUGGUUUAAUUCGAUGCAACGCGAAGAACCUUACCUACUCUUGACAUCCAGAGAACUUAGCAGAGAUGCUUUGGUGCCUUCGGGAACUCUGAGACAGGUGCUGCAUGGCUGUCGUCAGCUCGUGUUGUGAAAUGUUGGGUUAAGUCCCGCAACGAGCGCAACCCUUAUCCUUUGUUGCCAGCGGUCCGGCCGGGAACUCAAAGGAGACUGCCAGUGAUAAACUGGAGGAAGGUGGGGAUGACGUCAAGUCAUCAUGGCCCUUACGAGUAGGGCUACACACGUGCUACAAUGGCGUAUACAAAGAGAAGCGACCUCGCGAGAGCAAGCGGACCUCAUAAAGUACGUCGUAGUCCGGAUUGGAGU
RNAcentral lists this ribosomal RNA (527 nucleotides) under uncultured bacterium. Its description in RNAcentral is "bacterial SSU rRNA". It matches the Rfam family "Bacterial small subunit ribosomal RNA", at positions 777 to 1304 of the family's 1533-position model. The record is from RNAcentral.